RNAcentral lists this ribosomal RNA (440 nucleotides) under uncultured bacterium. RNAcentral's name for it is "partial 16S ribosomal RNA". It matches the Rfam family "Bacterial small subunit ribosomal RNA", at positions 338 to 795 of the family's 1533-position model. The record is from RNAcentral.
CCUACGGGUGGCUGCAGUGGGGAAUAUUGCACAAUGGGGGAAACCCUGAUGCAGCGACGCCGCGUGAGUGAAGAAGUAAUUCGUUAUGUAAAGCUCUAUCAGCAGGGAAGAAAAUGACGGUACCUGGGUAAGAAGCCCCGGCUAACUACGUGCCAGCAGCCGCGGUAAUACGUAGGGGGCAAGCGGUAUCCGGAUUUCCUGGGUGGAAAGGGAGCGUAGACGGCAGUGCAAGUCUGGAGUGAAAGGCGGGGGCUCAACCCCCGGACUGCUCUGGACACUGUACGGCUGGAGUGCAGGAGAGGGAAGUGGAAGUCCUAGUGGAGCGGUGAAAUGCGGAGAUAUUAGGAGGAACAACAGGGGGGAAGGCGGCUUACUGGACUGUAACUGACGGUGAGGCUCGAAAGCGGGGGGAGCAAACAGGACUAGAUACCCGUGUAGUC